Molecule: ribosomal RNA, 443 nt
Filed under: uncultured eukaryote
Lineage: Eukaryota
Description: bacterial SSU rRNA
Rfam family: Eukaryotic small subunit ribosomal RNA
Source: RNAcentral
CCAUUACUUCUAAGGAAGGCAGCAGGCGCGUAAAUUACCCAAUCCUAAUACGGGGAGGUAGUGACAAGAAAUAUUGAUAUUGGACCCAAAGGGUACAAUGAUUGAAAUGAGAACAAUAUAAAAAACUUAACGAACUAACAAUUGGAGGGCAAGUCUGGUGCCAGCAGCCGCGGUAAUUCCAGCUCCAAGAGUGUAUAUUAAAGUUGUUGCGGUUAAAAAGCUCGUAGUUGAAUUUCUGAAAAUAAUCUUGUGAUUGAUUUAACCGUCAUGAACAAAAAUUGUUUACAUACUUGAUAGAUGGAAACAUUUAUCUUAAUGACUUUGAAAAAAUUAGAGUGUUCAAAGCAUGAUUCACAUUUGAAUAAUACAGCAUGGGAUAAUAUAAUAUGACAUUAGUUAAAAAUUUGUUGGUUUCUUUGGCUAAUGUAAUGAUUAAAAGGGAC